GUGCCAGGCACAGGUGACAUCCAGAGGGUGCCACCAGUCCGUCCCUGCUGCCCAGGCUGGGCACCAGCAGGCUGGUGACUGUCCCUGAGUUUGCUCUGCAGGAUGAGGAAGCCACCCUGGUGAGGAGGAAGAGGAGGUGUGGGAGGAUGGAGACAGCGGCCACCAAAGGCUGGGGAAGGCCCAGGUCCAUGUAGGAGUUGCUGCCUUCCAAGGAGAGGGACUUGUCUGUCCCAUUGGAAUUUGGAGUGUGAGGCCAAUGGAACAAAGGAUUUGAUUACAUUUUCCUACUCAGGUUCUCAUUUGUCUUAGGAGGUAUUUGUGGAAAUGUAAUUUUAGUGAGUUUGCACCAGGUUUGAAGGAAUGUGACCCCUGGGGCAGAAAUCCCUGCACAGCUUCUGUGUCCCCCCAUGGCUCAUCUGAACAGUCCAUGGGCUGGGCCUCCUUCUUCAGGCUCUGGAUGAAAUCCUUCCUUUCCCAAGGGAGGGGAAAGCAAGCAGGAUGGGAACCAGAGGUGGUGCUUUAGGAAAGCCCCUCCAGCCUGGGAAGGAGCUUUUGGCUCCAGACACGUUCCCAGUGCCCAGGAGCAGCAGGACCUGUGCUGUUCCCAGCAGGUGAGGCAGAGGUGCCUUUCCUUCCUUCCCUGCUGCACUUUGGCUUUUUGAGGAGUCUCUGGGGGUCUGAGGGAGAAGUUCUUUGUCACUCCAGGGCAGAAUUAGCCCUGGUCCCACUAAAAGCAGGAGGAAUCAUUUUAUCCUUGCUUUUGGAUACACAUUUUGUGAUUUCUCUCUGUUGCUGACACCGUGUGGUGAAGCAGCACCUCCCACAUUUUCAGUGCUGCUCCCAGAUUUGUUCAUAGCUGGUAAAAAGAAACAGUAAUUUGCUUUCCUGUGGUAAUUGGAUUAAGGACAAGGCCUCCCUCUUUGUUUAAUAUUCCAGAGAAAAGCUGCCAAGUAAUAAAGCAAGAGCUUCCCCUGGUGAAACCUUUCCCAGUCCCACGCUGGGUUUGCACACACACAAGGCUCCAUCCCUGCUGGAAUCCCAGUCACAGCCCCCAGAUCAAUGGGCCCUUUAAGGUCUCACAGCCUGACCAGGACAAUCUCCUGCCUCUGGACAUGGAAAAUCAGUUUUUCAUUGUUACAGCACCGGCUCCAGAAUCCUCUGAGGCUGAAACAAAGACAUGGAACCUUCUGAGAUGGAAAGAGCCAAAGUGAGUUGUUGUGGGAAAGGAAAAUUAAAGAUGGUAGGUGCUGAAACCUUUGUUCUUCCUGACCUCUGUACUUGACCUCUGUACCUGGGAAUGGGUCUGGAAAUUUCCUGGAGACGCUGGAGAAUGAUCCCUGGUCUGCUGAAACGUGGGAAAAUCCCACUGGCAAUUGCAGUCUCUGAGGGAGGGCAAAAAGAGCAGGACCUCAGUCUGUGAGUGUGUGAGAAAUAAGGGAGGGACAAAUGUCUGGAUCAUCCUGAGCCUCAGGGCACCAGGAAAAGCCCUUGACUGAAAAACUGAAGUGCUGUUCCACAGGCACCCUGGGAAUUUGGCUCAUCCCAGCUUCUCUUCCAGAGCUGGAGGAACGCCCCACAGUGCUGUUUGAGACCUUCCUGACUGGAAUUGGGGCCAGCUGGGCACUUUCCUGUUUUCC
RNAcentral lists this long non-coding RNA (1637 nucleotides) under Serinus canaria (Common canary). Its description in RNAcentral is "lncRNA (ENSSCAG00000008139.1)". Lineage: Eukaryota; Metazoa; Chordata; Aves; Passeriformes; Fringillidae. The record is from RNAcentral.